GUGCUUGCUUCGGCAGCACAUAUACUAAAAAUGGAACAAUACAGAGAAGAUUAGCAUGGCCCCUGCGCAAGGAUGGCACGCAAAUUCGUGGAGCGUUCCAUAUUUUU
Small nuclear RNA from Rhinolophus ferrumequinum (greater horseshoe bat), 107 nucleotides. The record is from Ensembl. NCBI's taxonomy places the organism in Eukaryota, Metazoa, Chordata, Mammalia, Chiroptera, Rhinolophidae.